Long non-coding RNA from Thamnophis elegans (Western terrestrial garter snake), 3832 nucleotides. RefSeq lists it as uncharacterized. Lineage: Eukaryota; Metazoa; Chordata; Lepidosauria; Squamata; Natricidae. The transcript is spliced from 2 exons. The record is from RefSeq and is a predicted model, not a curated record.
UCCACCGAGUGACAACCUCCAGCUUUGGUUUCAGAACCAGGAAAAGAUGAUUAGAAGCAAGAGUCCUAGUUAAAGCACAUGGAAGUUUUUGGCAGUGCAUUGCCUAGAUAACCAGUAGCGUGUUUCCUUCCUGGGGCUAAAAGAGAAAGGAUGGAGUUGGCUUUGGCAUUUUGCAAUUCAGACAAUUCAAGCUGAUGCAUUCUUUUUAUCUUUGAGCUGGAAAAGAUCUUCCUCAUUUCUAAGAUCUACUGCCAACAUUGUCUUGACCAACCAGAUGUCAAAUUAUAUACUGAUGGUACACAGAAACAAUUAAUUUGGUGUUCUGCAACAAAGCAACUUAUGUGGUGGACAAAAAUUUUUAGUAAAAAUUUGACCUUUUCACAUUUUCAAAAAGUAAAUUGCUUUUUCCAAAGAGUACAGAAUUUGAUCCAGUUAAACAACCUACCCAUUUAUCAUCAAUCAAUAGUUGAACUAAUUUAUGCAGAAAUUAUCCAAGCCACCAAAACGUAUUUUAAAAAACAAAAGCGGCAGCCACAGCACUUCAGAGCGAAGAAUCUAACAACACAGGACUAUCCUGCUCUGACUAAAAACUUAUGUCUGAGAAGUAAAUGUUAAGUGGAACGCUUAUCCUUUUCCUUUUUAGUUUAAUAUAGUAUACUUGAAUUAUAGUUCUACACAUGUCUAUGUUGUGAGUUUCAAUUAGCUCAAUUGAUCAGCUGAAACUGGAAUUUGUUCCCAUGGUAGCCUUGCUGCAAUAUUUCUUUAUCUGGAUCUUUACAGCAAAGUGCUGGGAAGAGGGGGAAUGACAAAUAUGCUAUGCAGAAGUAAAAUCCAAAGUGGCCAUCUCAGUGUGCUCCACUUGAUGAACAAAACUGAUGAAGCUCAUUCUUUUUCAUUAACCAAUAUUAGUUGUGUAUUAUGUGCAAUAUCAAUUGAUAACUUACAAUGCAUGUCCAAUGUAACCAGUUAUUUUGGUUAUUUGUUUUGCUUCUAAUUAUUGUUAGGAAUAGGAAAUUAGUACUUAAAUACAUCUCACUCAUAUUUGGGGAAUGCAUGUUCUUAAUCAUUCAUUUGCUUUAAUACAUAUUUAAAUUUAUAUAUGAGCAGCAUCAAAUAAUGAACACUAAAGAAUAAUAAGCCUGCAAGGGACUAGGUUUAGAAGCUAGGGGCCUUAUUCAAGGCUGUCUCUACCACAUAUUAAUUUACAUCAACAUCUUAUAUAAAUCAAUUCGUAUCUUAAUACCAUCCACAAGGAGAAAACAAGUCUAAAGACAUCUGCCCUGUUCAAAAGUUUUAUCAGCAGCACUAACCAGUUAGUAGCCUAUCUUAGAUAAAAUCAUUUAUUUAUGAAAUCACAGCAUUUUUGUGGCUCACAAAAUGAGAAGAUUGAAUAAAAUAUAAAAGAUAAAGGUGUAACAACUAAAACCCCAAACAUAGUGCAUAGCAUCAGAUCCCCAAAAGCUUGCCAGAAAAGCUCUGCUUACAGCUUUUACUAGAAGACAGACAAGAUUGGGGUGAAUCUCCAACUGAUAGACCAGCCCCAUAACUGAAAAAGACUUAUUUUGCCCCACUGAUCUGUAGAAAAUAAUGGAUCAACCAUCUGUUUUUCCUGGCAUGACUGAAAAGGUAACCAACCCAUAAAGGGCUUUUUGUGUAAAAAUCCAGCAUCAACUGGUUGGUGGUAAUUUGCAGUCCCAAAUUAGAAGCAGCCCCAAAUGAAUGUUGCAGUAUACUAGUUGGGUGGUGAUGAGCCACUGAAGUCAGGUCUUCUCGUUCCAAAUAAAACUGCAUCUGAUGCAUCAUGGACAUGUAAAGCUGCAUAAGGGCCUCCCAGGACGUGGCCUCAACCUGCUGGUCCAGCAGGACUCGUGAGUCUAAGCAGAUUCCCAAGUCACGGACUUUUUCAAAGUCAGGGCCACCCCGUCUACAGAUAAAACAGGGAUGUAUAAAGAAACCUUGGGGUAAAACUAGCUGUAGAACAGUAUGAAUCUGCUUUCUCCAAUGCACAGCUUCCAGCUAUCAGGACAUUAUUUGGAUGGCAGCUUCAAGUGCAAGGGAAGUGUUCAGAAUCUCCUGGAUCACAGACCUAUUACCUCCCCAGCAGCCCAAAAGAGUCAAUGGGACAAGACUCAGCCCUCAAGUGGUUGCAAAUAUCAUAGAGAGCACCUUAUCCAUUUCCUUAGAGAUAACAGACCAAAGAGAAAACCAAGUAACCAAACAAGAUGGGGCCACAGAAUCCAGACAAUGGUGAAUUUGAGCAUUUUUACAGUGAAAUCCACUGGAGUUAGGCAGCCCAAAAGGUAAAUAAAUAAAUGUCAAGCAAAUUGGUCACAGUGGCCUGAUGGUAAAUCAACAGGAUAACUCUUACCUCUGGAAAAGGGCCAGCAGAUAACAACCAGUCAAUGUCAUAAGGGAGAAGCAAUAAUGAUUCAGAGUAAACUUGAACCUGUGCAUGUAUCCAAUUUUUUGCAUAGAAUAGAUAUAUCUUCCUAUUCAGAUUACAUACAAUCUGAAUCUGCCUACAAUAUAGGGAAGGCAUCGGAUGAAGUAAAUAAUAUGGUUAUGCAAGGUAUUCUUUGAAAUGAUAAAACAGCUGCAUUCCUAUAAAGCUUGUGCUGCUACUUCAACGCCUGUCCCGAUGGUGCAUGCACACAUCUAUGCAAACAAUCUACACUUCCAUUGGGACUGCCAAUGAAGCAAUCAUGUAUAUACAGGUGGAAACAGACAAGGACAACUUUCAAAGAAUCAUGUAAGUCUUGCAUAGGACAGAACUGCUUUGGAACAUUUGUGAAGCAUUUUUAAAAAAAUGUUUUGCUGAAGUCUAUUAAAUGAGGAAAAACAUUUGCAAUUUUAGUGCUGCAGCUCAGAAAAAUGUUUUCUACAAAUCAAGAUCUGGUGUAUAUAUAACAAAGGCUAGGAAAGAUCCUGUUGGAAACAGCUGUCACUCAACAUGGAAAGAACUAGACCAGACAGAUUAAGAAGUCUGCUUCCGUGUAGGGCAGCAUCUUUAAGGUACAUUGUAGAGACCUGAAAAUCUAGUAAUAGGUUUCCUGUAGAGCUCCCUAAGUUACCUCGAUUUAAUUAGUGUGGGCCUAGUUUACUUUUAAAGCUGAGCCAUAAUGUAUUUGGAUUAGCCUGUUGUGCAAAUUCACCCAUUAUGGGUUAGCACUAUGUGCAAUCCAGUCCACCAGAGCUUGGUCAACCAUUCAUAGUUAAAUAAAUUCUGGCAUGUCACUGUGCAGGAAUACAAGCAGUACAGCUGCAUAAGCUAAAGGGCAAUGGGGAUUUACAGCCAAUAACCUACAAACACAAGCCAUAAAGCCCUAUUAAAUGAGGGUAUUUUUGCCAAGAAAAUAUGAGAAGGAAAAGGGAAAUUUAUAAUAGAAAUAAGUGUCAGAAAUGUCCAUCUUAGAUGAAGAAAAUAUAGAGCUUGCACUCCUUUUGGUAUCUAGAACGUUUAACAGUGUGUUGUUAGGUCAAGGAAUCAAACUUAAAUUUUUGUCUCAAGUUAAUUAAAUUAUAUUUUUAAACAGACUAUACAAAAAUCUGCUUAAAAUGUUCAUUUAGCUGUCUCAAUAGUCAAAUUCAUCAGGCAUAAUGUUUGCCUCCAUGAAGGUCUCUUAAAAAGUGCCAAAAUAAAUAAUAUUGCAGACCUUGCUCAGAGAGAUUAAUGCAUCUCUUGAAUCAGAAUGCUGGGCAAAGUUUUAUCUAUAUUUAAGUAAAUUUAUUCAACAAGCCAGGAAAUUUUGGUAAACAUAUUAGUUUUCUCUUUGCUUUACAAGGCCACUGCCAGGUACUUGACUAGAUCAAAGAAUCCAAAGAAAAUAAAUGA